UACGGAGGGUGCAAGCGUUAUCCGGAUUCAUUGGGUUUAAAGGGUGCGCAGGCGGCCUUACAAGUCAGUGGUGAAAUCCUCCCGCUCAACGGGAGAACUGCCAUUGAAACUGUAGGGCUUGAAUCUAUUUGAAGUGGGCGGAAUACGACAUGUAGCGGUGAAAUGCAUAGAUAUGUCGUGGAACACCGAUUGCGAAGGCAGCUCACUAAGUUAGUAUUGACGCUGAGGCACGAAAGCGUGGGGAGCGAACAGG
RNAcentral lists this ribosomal RNA (253 nucleotides) under uncultured bacterium. Its description in RNAcentral is "partial 16S ribosomal RNA". It matches the Rfam family "Bacterial small subunit ribosomal RNA", at positions 524 to 776 of the family's 1533-position model. The record is from RNAcentral.